RNAcentral lists this ribosomal RNA (595 nucleotides) under uncultured Bacteroidota bacterium. RNAcentral describes it as "bacterial SSU rRNA". It matches the Rfam family "Bacterial small subunit ribosomal RNA", at positions 122 to 715 of the family's 1533-position model. Lineage: Bacteria; Pseudomonadati; Bacteroidota. The record is from RNAcentral.
CAACCUGCCCACCACUUGGGGAUAACCUUGCGAAAGUAAGACUAAUACCCAAUGACGUCUCUAGAAGACAUCUGAAAGAGAUUAAAGAUUUAUCGGUGAUGGAUGGGGAUGCGUCUGAUUAGCUUGUUGGCGGGGUAACGGCCCACCAAGGCGACGAUCAGUAGGGGUUCUGAGAGGAAGGUCCCCCACAUUGGAACUGAGACACGGUCCAAACUCCUACGGGAGGCAGCAGUGAGGAAUAUUGGUCAAUGGGCGAGAGCCUGAACCAGCCAAGUAGCGUGCAGGAUGACGGCCCUAUGGGUUGUAAACUGCUUUUAUAAGGGAAUAAAGUGAGUCUCGUGAGACUUUUUGCAUGUACCUUAUGAAUAAGGACCGGCUAAUUCCGUGCCAGCAGCCGCGGUAAUACGGAAGGUCCGGGCGUUAUCCGGAUUUAUUGGGUUUAAAGGGAGCGUAGGCCGGAGAUUAAGCGUGUUGUGAAAUGUAGACGCUCAACGUCUGCACUGCAGCGCGAACUGGUUUCCUUGAGUACGCACAAAGUGGGCGGAAUUCGUGGUGUAGCGGUGAAAUGCUUAGAUAUCACGAAGAACUCCGAUUG